UCAAUCCCAACCGUCGAGGAUUUUUUAUUCAACGACUUAGAAGUUAGGACUCCAUAAUAUAUAAUUGUCCUAAAUACCGCACACCUCUUCUCUCAUCACUCUCUCACCAGAACCCUAGCGCCGCUAGCAGUUUCCACCGCCUUAGGGUGGUGCCGCUGCCUCCAAACGACACCAAAUUAACACCCCUAGACUCUCUACCCCUCAUCAUCCGAAUCCCUAACCUAUUCCCUUCGAAUAUCCCUGGAAGCACUCGAAUGUUGGAAUCAAGCUUAGCCCCAAAAUUACGGUCUUGUCCAAUUGAAUUUCUUGGUGAAGUUUUAGGUUCGUUUUGAGGUUAUUCAUGUAUUUUUAAUGGAAAUACAUGCUUAAUCUCAGAUUUGAGCCCAGAUUUGAGAAGUUUGAAGGUUGUCCCCUUUCUCCUUUUGUCUAAACCCUUUUACAUAGUUUUUCUCCUUUAUCUUUUGUUCAGUGCUCUUUCUCUUCUACUCCUCUAUUACUUCUUUUAUUUGUCAUUAUUUUGUUUGAUUUUUUUUGUGUUCCUUCACGGUUCGUUUAUGCACGCAUUGGUUAAUUCGGAAUAUGGUCUUAAAUAGUUAAUUAGUUUUUUUUGAUAAUUCAGUUAAUUCCCUUUAUUGGUGUUAUUCAAACAGCAAUCUAGUUAUUUGAGUUGUUCUGCCUUUAGAAGCUUAUAGUUUAGGGAUUUUAGUCCAUGAUUUGUAGUUUAGUUCAUUACUGACCAUUUGGCAAAGGUAGUCCGCAUAUUUGGGUCAAUCUGACCCGUUUUGAUUGUUCUGAAGUUAAUCUCAGGGUUAUGGGGGGAAUUUGGGUAAUUUAGGUCAAGGAAUCUUGCAGUAACCACUAAAAAAAGCCCUUGGAAGCUUCUAGCAGGGGUGUACUGUUAAAAUUUCAUUCUAUGACUUGGUUAGCAAGUCAUAAAAUGAGGUACUACGAGGUAAAAUGGACUCUGAAGAUUUCCCUAAUGUUCAGCCUAUAAAAGGCAUGAAAACUUAAGCUAAAAGGGGUUCUUUUGGGGGGGGGGGGGGAACAAACUAGGAGAAAAAUAAUCAGAAAAUCAGCCUAUAAAAGGCAUGAAAACUUAAGCUAAAAGGGGUUCUUUUGGGGGGGGGGGGUGAACAAACUAGGAGAAAAAUAAUCAGAAAAUACAACAGCCAAUUCUACUGUUCCAUUGGGUUUCCUGCUAUAAUUUUAUUAGAUUUUUGAAUCAGACGUGCUUGAGGAUGGUUUAAAUUGGAUUUUGAAAAUUGAUUUUGAGCUAAGGCUGUGUUGAAAUCCCUUUUGAUUGGAAUCUGGGUUUAGAAAUUGGAUCUAAGUCUGUUGGAACUUGGCUUGAAGUUUGGACUGGUUUAAGCCUUGUAAACACCUUUAUAUUACUGCCAAUACUGCCUACUGCUGCUGAUACUCACUUUUCUGUUUUUCUUUGCUUCCUAGGUACAAUUUAUACCUCAUCUAAUAUAAAACAUUGUGAUAUGGAAGUUUGAAUAUUGGAAGCAUAAUGCCCAUUUGCCCUCAUUAUGUUAGCUUAAUUUUGCCUUUGUUUCGAAUCCUUAGUUGUAAGAUAUUUGUACUCCCUUGCUAGCUAGGGCCAAUGCCUUUUAGGGGCUGGAUUUGAUUUGAAAUUAGUAUGAGGUUUGGCUCUUUGGCAAAUGUAUGAUAUUUUGGACACUUGUACUGUAUGACUGAUCUUUCGUUAUGGUGUUUGGUUUCUCUUUAAAUCUCCCUGAAAUCUCGAGUAACAUGUUUGUUCAUUUGAGUUGUUGGUUGUUAUUUGCAUCUAUUCCUGAGUAACAGCCUGUUCAGUUAGAUGUUAGUUCAUUUUACUUUAGAUACUAGAAAGGUCAUCAUCAGCUUGUGUGAAAGGUGCAAAUGAUUUUUAUGGCUUUCUAAGACAUUUGGGUUUAAUAGUGCUUCUCUUGAAUCCGUGACUUUGUAGUUUUCAGGGUCUGUAGUCUCUAAUGCAUGGGGUUGGAGCAUGGUGACAUAAUGCCUGCUAUUCAAGUGCAUGCAUUUUGUUUGCAAUCAACAUAUGCUUGUCGUAUUCUUUAAAGUUGGUUUGCAUGAUUUGAUUCAAACAAUUGGUAUGAAAUUGGUGAUGACAUGUUUCCAUGUGUUGUGAAUUACGAUCGCAGGGGCUGGGGGUGAGCUCGUGAUUUUUGCCUCACUUGAAGUGUUACUACAAAUUCGUAAACUAGGAUUUUCUUUUAUUAUUAUUUGAAUUUUUAGGAAUUAAUUGUGUGAUUUUGUGUUUAUUUGUAUUUUUCCUUAUUAAUUGUGUGGUUCUGAAGUUUUUUAACAAAUAGGUACAAGUUAAAAGUUUAAAAAAAAAAGUACAUGUUAAAUGAGGGCGACCAAAUAGGAUGCCCUGUGCAAUUUGUACCCUCAUCUGUGCCUAAGAUUUAAUAAAAUGAUGGGUGUGAGCACGUGAUUUUUGCCUCACUUGAAGUGUUUCUAUAAAUUCGUAAACUAGGAUUUUCUUUUAUUAUUAUUUGAAUUUUUAGGAAUUAAUUGUGUGAUUUUGUGUUUAUUUGCAUUUCUCCUUAUUAAUUGUGUGAUUUUAUGUUUAUUUGCAUUAUUCCUUAUUAAUUGCGUGAUGUUGUAUUUAUUUGCGUCUUUCUUUUAUUAUUUGAAUAUUUAGAGUUUAAUUGCAUAAAUUGCAUGUUUAUUUGCAUAUUGAGUGCAUUUUAAUUCACAAAAAUACAAAAAAUAGAAUUUUAUUAAUUAGCCCAAUUUUGGAUUUUUAAAUCAGGUUUUAGUUAAUUUGGUGUUAAUAAAGUAAUUUAAUAAAGGAAUUAAAAUAAAUAAGAACAAAGGGGUUUGGAAAGGUGGCCUUGUUCUAAAAAGGCCAAUUUAGGCCAUUUUUGCAAGUAAAACCAGCCCAAAACCCUACCCAGACCCGAUCCAAUCCCACCCCCUCAUCAAAACGACGUCGUUUUGGCGUUCGUUCAUCCUGGCCGUCCAUAUCCCUGAUCCAACGGCUCAAAUUGAGCCUUAUAUUUUAUAUAUAAAUGUCCAAACCCAUGUAGUAGCUUCAGAGACCAAAAUCAUCUUCAUCGUACCAACUAACACACCGGUGUAACACCACCACCAAACUGUUGUACCACUAUCGUCUGCCACCGCCGUCGGCGUAACUCCGAUAGCCUCCAAAUUUACACACUAGAAUCCCCAUUGUCUCCUCUUCCCAACCCCCUAAGAUCACCCUUUGAAACCCUCCCUAGUCCGCCGAGUAUCCAUUCAAAGCACGGCAGCUCCGCCGUCCACGGCAGCUCCGGUGACCAACGACCCCCAAACUAACACCAUGGGACCCCCUCACCCUCCUCUUCCUAGCCCUGACAUCAUCCACUCUCAAACACGGCCUCAGCACUUCGAAUUUUCUUUUUAAUAAGGCUGCCCCGCCAGGCAUGGCGGUGGGUGACCUCCAGCGUCUCCCAAAGUAACACCACCCACCCCCUUAGUAUUCCCUACCCAAAAACAAGUCUAGUCCCCUUCGAAUAAUUCUCAAACUCCUCAAAUCCCAAAUCUAGGACUAGACCUAAUUUUGAGAUACAUUUCUCGGAGCCACCUGAGUCCUAAAAUGGAGUGGCGUGUUUGUUUUGACCAAAACACACAUGUGACUCCGUAUUGGGAUUCAGUUCCAUUCAGCAGACCAUUUGAAAGAAGUCCAUGUAAGUUCACUCGUUCUUAAUUUGUUUUUUUUGUUUUGUUUAUUGUUGUUUGCUUGGUUUAGCCAUUGAAUUUGACUUUGUUUCUAUUUUUUCUUAAUUAAAAAUGGUACCUUAUUCUGGUGAUGAUUCUAAUUUUAGUUAUUAGGAGCCAUGAACAUCUAUUUUAAAUUUUAAUUAAUAACUUCUGCUUUGUGUGCCAUGCUUGUUGUAGGUUUAAUUUUUAAGUUUAUGCAUGUUGUCUCUAAUGCUCUAAACUUAUGAAUCUGAGUAUUGGUUUGUGGUCACAUGUAAUUAGGAAAUGGUUUUGAUUGUUUGAUGUGUUUAGCAUGACAAUGCCCAUGUCUGUUUGUUAGAUUCAGUAAUCCCUUGUUUUUUUAAGAUUAAGUGUUGACUAAUGGAUCAUAUGUUUUGAGGGGCUGAUUUCUGAGAUUUAAUUUUGGUAACAGUAGCCUUCUAUGUUCUUCUUUUGAUUUUGGAAUAUUGGACUUGAUUUCUACCUUGAUUUCUGAGGAUUGAUUGGAAUGUGUCCUUGAUUAAUAUCAUUUGAAUUGGUUUUAGAUGUUAAGAUUAGAAGAAUUAAUUUUAGGAGUUAGUUUUGAUACCAAAUAAGUAGAUUAAGGGUAGUAUAGGGUUUGCCUACCUAAUUCUGAUAAUUUUAGGAUAAAUAAGGGUAAUAUAGAGUUUUUAACUUGGAUUUGGUAAUAUUAGGAAUAAAAUAAGGGUAGUAUAGGUAGUCUAUAAAGGGUGGAUAAUGGUAGAAACCUUUAGACCCUUCUAGAAGGGGCCUUUAAUACAAAAUCAGUAGUUUUAUUGCAAUAACUUGGGAAACAAGUCAAAAACUGAGGGUCUAAAUAGGUAAAAUCUGAAAAUUGAAAGAGGGACCUUUAGUUAAAAUAAAAUCAUAGUGGUUCCCUAGCCUUUGGCUAUAAAAGGAACUGAAAAUCACUCAAAAAGGGGGUUGAACAAUAUGGAAUAUAUCUCUACAAAUUUCUCAGAAUUUUGAAGCUCAAAAUCUCUCAAAAUAACUCCUGAAAACCCCAGUAGUCGUACAUUUACUGUUCCAUUGAAUUUAUUGUGGAGAAACACUCAAAUUCAGCAGUCAAGCAGGGAUCAUAGGAAAAUGACUUGGUUUGGUUGUUAUUCAGUGUAUUUCGAGUAGGUUUGGUAAUGUUGUAUGAUGUAAAGGUCACUUGAGUUACUAUUUGAAUUCUUGGGUUCAUUGGAUAUAUUUGAACAAGUGUUGCUGCUUGAUUUUUGAGUUUAAGACCUUCCCUGUUGCUUGGUGAUGUUUCUGGGUUAUUAACUACUUAUAAGUUGUGCAUUCCUGUUGCAUACACUGUUAUUGAGUCCUGUUGAUUUUUAACUCUACUUUUCUGCACAAAUUCCAGGUAUACUCUCGACCCCCAAUGUUGUAUCAAGCUUGGAUUUAAUGGAUAUUCAAGUUGAAGAAGUUUGUUAUAUUAUUUUACCAGUUUUAUUGUUGUCGUGUGAUUGUGCUUGAAAAGGUGGUUUGUAAUAAUAGGACACUUAGUUUAGCUUAUUAGAAUCAAUGUCUCCUGUGUUUAUUUCAAAAUGAAUGCCAAUGGUUUGUAAUAAUAGGACAGUAGAUCUCAGCUUACUAGUUGAGAUCGAUUUCUCUGUGUUUACUGCAAAAAUGAGCUCCCAGGAAUGUGCAUGGCAAAUGUAUUUUCACUUACGCUUUAAUUAUUUUAUAGUUAUGUG
This 5402-nucleotide long non-coding RNA is filed under the name Nicotiana benthamiana. RNAcentral's name for it is "long non-coding RNA (NBEN_LNC032242)". The record is from RNAcentral. Lineage: Eukaryota; Viridiplantae; Streptophyta; Magnoliopsida; Solanales; Solanaceae.